This is a non-coding RNA of Oryza meridionalis, 206 nucleotides long. Lineage: Eukaryota; Viridiplantae; Streptophyta; Magnoliopsida; Poales; Poaceae. The record is from Rfam.
AAUAAGUGUUGUUUUGCACUAUUCAUAUCUAACGUUUGACCGUUUAUCUUAUUUAAAUUUUUUUAUGAUUAGUUCUUUUAUUGUUAUUAGAUGAUAAAAUAUAAAUAAUAUUUUAUAUGUCACUAAUUAAUUUUAGUUUUUUCAUAAAUUUUUAAAUAAGACUGACGGUCAAACGUUGAACACGAAUUCGUAGGGCUACACUUAUU